CCUACGGGAGGCAGCAGUGGGGAAUAUUGCACAAUGGGGGAAACCCUGAUGCAGCGACGCCGCGUGAGUGAAGAAGUAACUCGUUAUGUAAAGCUCUAUCUGCAGGGAAGAAAAUGACGUUACCUGAGUAAGAAGCCCCGGCUAACUACGUGCCAGCAGCCGCGGUAAUACGUAGGGGGCAAGCGUUAUCCGGAUUUACUGGGUGUUAAGGGAGCGUAGACGGCAGUGCAAGUCUGGAGUGAAAGGCGGGGGCUCAACCCCCGGACUGCUCUGGAAACUGUACGGCUGGAGUGCAGGAGAGGUAAGUGGAAUUCCUAGUGUAGCGGUGAAAUGCGUAGAUAUUAGGAGGAACACCAGUGGCGAAGGCGGCAUACUGGACUGUAACUGACGUUGAGGCUCGAAGGCGUGGGGAGCAAACAGGAUUAGAUACCCCAGUAGUC
This 440-nucleotide ribosomal RNA is filed under the name uncultured bacterium. RNAcentral describes it as "partial 16S ribosomal RNA". It matches the Rfam family "Bacterial small subunit ribosomal RNA", at positions 338 to 795 of the family's 1533-position model. The record is from RNAcentral.